AGAGUUUGAUCCUGGCUCAGGACGAACGCUGGCGGCGUGCUUAACACAUGCAAGUCGAGCGAGGCCCUCCCUUCGGGGAGGUGUCCUAGCGGCGAACGGGUGAGUAACACGUGGGCAACCUGCCCUCAGCUCUGGGAUAACCCCGGGAAACCGGGGCUAAUACCGGAUACGACCUCGUCAGGCAUCUGUCGAGGUGGAAAGUUUUUCGGCUGAGGAUGGGCCCGCGGCCUAUCAGCUUGUUGGUGGGGUGACGGCCUACCAAGGCGACGACGGGUAGCCGGCCUGAGAGGGUGACCGGCCACACUGGGACUGAGACACGGCCCAGACUCCUACGGGAGGCAGCAGUGGGGAAUAUUGCGCAAUGGGCGAAAGCCUGACGCAGCGACGCCGCGUGAGGGACGAAGGCCUUCGGGUUGUAAACCUCUUUCAGCAGGGACGAAGCGAAAGUGACGGUACCUGCAGAAGAAGCACCGGCCAACUACGUG
RNAcentral lists this ribosomal RNA (485 nucleotides) under uncultured Actinomycetales bacterium. RNAcentral describes it as "bacterial SSU rRNA". It matches the Rfam family "Bacterial small subunit ribosomal RNA", at positions 8 to 507 of the family's 1533-position model. The record is from RNAcentral. Lineage: Bacteria; Bacillati; Actinomycetota; Actinomycetes; Actinomycetales.